GUUUCAGGCAAAGGCUCAGAAACAAGUGGUAAAAUAACAGAAUUUUGGAAAUCAUAAACAUUUGCAACUUACAAAAAAACUUUGAGGACGAUGAUAUCUACUUACCGCUUAGCAGAUGAGAAAACGGAGACACAGAUAAAUUAAAUGUGUUGCUCUGAGUCCUAAGGCUACUAAGGGGCCACUCAGCCCAAAACUUGGCUUUCAAUUCCACUCUGGGACUCUGUACACUGUUCUUGUUGCUAUUAUACUGCCCAGAGAAUGGGAUGUUUCUGUUUAUUAAAUAAAAGUCCUUAAGUAUACAAACAUAGAAGGACUACAUUCCUAAUUCGCAAAAAGGGGGAACAAAGUUACAUAGAAUCCUAAAACUACCCUGAACAAAGCUGAAGUUGCUAGGAUCUUACAGAAGAUUCAUCCAGGUCCAGCCUUCGAGGUGAUUACAGGUCUCCAGUAGUCUGUCUACAUCUUUCUCAGAUCCCCGUCUUCAGAGACCAAGUUUACUACUUAAUGACUGAACAUUUUAUCCGCAAAACCCCUGAUCCACUGACUUACUGUGCUAAUAAAACUUACUUCCAUAAUA
Homo sapiens (human) is the source of this 577-nucleotide long non-coding RNA. RefSeq lists it as uncharacterized. Lineage: Eukaryota; Metazoa; Chordata; Mammalia; Primates; Hominidae. The record is from RefSeq and is a predicted model, not a curated record. The transcript has 2 exons.